UACGGAGGGGGCUAGCGUUGUUCGGAAUCACUGGGCGUAAAGCGCACGUAGGCGGCUACUCAAGUCAGAGGUGAAAGCCUGGGGCUCAACCUCAGAAUUGCCUUUGAAACUAGGUAGCUUGAAGAUGGGAGAGGUAAGUGGAAUUCCGAGUGUAGAGGUGAAAUUCGUAGAUAUUCGGAAGAACACCAGUGGCGAAGGCGGCUUACUGGACCAUUCUUGACGCUGAGGUGCGAAAGCGUGGGGAGCAAACAGG
Molecule: ribosomal RNA, 253 nt
Filed under: uncultured Sphingomonadales bacterium
Lineage: Bacteria; Pseudomonadati; Pseudomonadota; Alphaproteobacteria; Sphingomonadales
Description: partial 16S ribosomal RNA
Rfam family: Bacterial small subunit ribosomal RNA
Source: RNAcentral